UUUAAACCGAAUGAAAUUACUUUUCAGUUGAGGAAAUUGGGAAAACAAAUAUUUUAAACAAUAUAAUAAAAUAAUAUGAAAAAAGACAUGCCGCGAAAUUCGUGUUUUUUGUGCAAAACCACUACGAUGUUUUGUGUCGAAUUUACAAAAAACCAAUGGAAAAAUGCGUGUCGUACUUCAUUGCCGUCUACAGCUCACAUUUAUGGGAACCACCUUAGUCAAGACCACUUUCUGCUUCGUGCGUGAAGUGAAAGUGUUUAAGUCCAGACACAGUACCAACACCGUUUCUUCCUCAAGCGAACUCAAAAGCUGAAAACAUAUUGGAAGAACCCAGGAAUUUAGUGCCUAACAAGAAGAAAGCACCAUGUCAGCUUAUAUUAUCUAAAGGUCUCUGCUAUAGGAAAGGCUGCAGAAUUAGCAAUCGCAAAGACAUCGAACAACUCCAAAAUAAAUAUUUAGAAGCAGCAUAACAAAAAAAUAAAAUUAUCAGUAAAAUGGAACAUCCUUUUGGCAGCAACAAGAGCUAUACCAAGUUACACCGCUCAAGUUUGGGAUUUUGACCUGUUUGAUGAAAAAUUGGCUUUCCAAAAUGUCAUUUGUCUACAUUACAACUUCACCUAAGAUACAUAUAUUUAUGAGACCUUAUUUGACUAUGAUGCAAAAUCUUACUUACGACAUAUCAGAUGGGAGACUGUGAAAUACUAACAUAGAUGCACUUCUUCCAACUGUGAGCUCGACGAGCAAACAGAAAUUGAAAGAAAGAGCUUUGGAAGGUACUUGCAUAUACGAGGACCUAUAUCUAAUUUUAGAAAAAGCUAUUUCAACGCUACGGUUCAAAAUUAUAAAAUCUCUUUGAUUUUGAAGUCCAGAUGCUUCUUAUUUAUCUCGGGAUCCACAAAAAUGUAAACUGCUAUCUUUGUAAAUUAACGCAUUAGAAGGCAUACCACAGAUUUUAGGAAGGUACUCUAUUUUGAAUAUUUUUAGAAUUUGUUCAGGCGGAUGAAAUAGUCUGAUUUGGUUUGUCACUAGUGCCUUAAAAUACAAGCACUUAAUUGUA
This is a long non-coding RNA of Anastrepha obliqua, 1057 nucleotides long. RefSeq lists it as uncharacterized. Lineage: Eukaryota; Metazoa; Arthropoda; Insecta; Diptera; Tephritidae. The record is from RefSeq and is a predicted model, not a curated record. The transcript has 3 exons.